ACUAGCCUAAGGUGUAGACAUUCUAUGCACUGUGGUUUAGCUAGCUAGCUGCUAUUGUUGCAUCAUGGACAACACUUAGAGCUAACAUUAGCUUUUUUAUUUUAGAUAGGAUGUAAUGUGGUAACGUUAUGUGCUGGAGAGUAUUAGAGUGGACGUGUAGAAAUUGAAGACAAGUACUGUGCUUAAUUUCAUGGAAAUGGUAUUGCAAGUAAUGUGUUUUGUUUUUGUGCACUAUCAAACUACUUUGUCAUGCUUUGUGCACUGACAUUCUUGCAAAACCAUUCACACCCAUGCUAAAUUAUGGAAAUUGUAUUGAAAAGGACCAUGUAUGGUCAUGUAGUGCAUUUGAGCACUGACACCCCUUUUUUUUACAUUUUAGAGAGGCAACACUCGAAAGCUACAUCAAGGACACCGGAGGAUGGACCAGAAGACCUGAGACCAAGACGACCCAAGCCCAACCCAUAGUAUGCUUCACUGACAAAUGUUGAUGCUUCAUCAUCACAUAGACCAAAGGUUUCAGAGAAGGCUGGUAGAGCUCUCUAAGAGUGUGAGCUGUGGGAGAUAACCAAGAACUGACAACCACCUACAGAAGAGGUGGCGAUAAUGGCUCUCCAAGAGGAGGUUGUGAGUCUGAAGGCUUUUAUUCAACAAGUGUUAGGCUGUCUGUGUGGACUGCUUCCCAUUUUCGCCUCACCCUGAGAGGACUAAGAUGAUAAUUGAGGCCACCCUGAAGCAGUUCCCAGGCCAGACACUCACUCCAGAUUGCUGGGCUAGGCAAUAAAUGCCAAAGUGAACGAACUGAGGUUCCAUAACAAAAACAAAGAUUUUCAAUAAAAUAGAAUAAAAGAUAACAGAAGUGUUGUGUGUUUCUUCCUCUUUAUACUGAUACUAUGGUUAAUUUUAAGUAAACACAAGUGAAAUAUUUAAUGAUCAAUGCGGAAAAUAUCAAACCAUAGUAGAAUAUGAACUAUAUUAGAUAAAUAUAUGUCUGAAAUAUAUAGAUCAUGUGAUCAGAAUCUUCA
Alosa sapidissima (American shad) is the source of this 1022-nucleotide long non-coding RNA. RefSeq lists it as uncharacterized. The transcript is spliced from 4 exons. NCBI's taxonomy places the organism in Eukaryota, Metazoa, Chordata, Actinopteri, Clupeiformes, Clupeidae. The record is from RefSeq and is a predicted model, not a curated record.